UCACACGGUGCACACACAACUCACCCACACUCACAGUAAAGAACAGAAAGAAGGGAAAAGAAAGAAAAUGGAGUGAGGGUUGCGAGAGAAGAGGGUGGAUCCAAGAGAGAGAGGGAGAGCGCCGGCGAAGGAGGAGGCGGCGGGUUGCCGGUUCGUCCACGGGCCGCCUCUAGAACCACGAAGAGAAGGAGAACCUCGCGCCGCCGUCAACCCGUCGCCGCUGUUCGUCCUUGCCGCCGCCAGCUGCGCCGUCGCGAAGAAGAGAUGCGCGAAAGAGGAAAGGCCAGUUUUGUCACCACCGCCGUGCCGUGCUCCAAGCCGUCACCACCACUGUUCUGUCACAAGAGAAGGAUGUGCGAGGGAGGAAACAGAAUCGCGAGGGUGCUCAGCCAUGGAGAGAGGAGACGCGCGUCGAAUCUGUCGCCGCCGGUCCGCCCACCGCCAAACCACGCCGCCGUCCGUGAGGCUGUCUCCAUCGCCGCUGCCGGAGGUUGCCAUCGGAGCCGCUGCUCCACUUCUGUCAUUCUUCUUUUUCCGGGUUAACUUUAUGGGUUUGCAUGUCAAAAAUUAAGGUUGUUGCUGAGCCACUGAAGCCCCUGGCCACUGUCAGAGCUGCUGCCAGUUAAGUUUGGGGUGGUUGGCGUGUCGUUCUUUUAUUCCAGAAUUAGAAACCGGGGCCGCAUGUCACGUUUGAGGCUGUUCUGCUUUUGAGGAAGCGAGCAGAGCUGAGGUUUCAGUUGCAUUGAUUUCGGGUCGAGAGGAAAGGAAUUUCUUGAGGCAUUUGGAUUGUGGUUUGAACGUGUCGAGGUUUUUCCCUUUUCAGGAUAUGGACGACGAAGCUUCAGAAAAUUU
Non-coding RNA from Arachis ipaensis, 852 nucleotides. The record is from RefSeq and is a predicted model, not a curated record. Lineage: Eukaryota; Viridiplantae; Streptophyta; Magnoliopsida; Fabales; Fabaceae.